This 100-nucleotide non-coding RNA is filed under the name Clostridium cellulovorans. Its description in RNAcentral is "TPP sequence". It matches the Rfam family "TPP riboswitch aptamer (THI element)". Rfam says of the family: Vitamin B(1) in its active form thiamin pyrophosphate (TPP) is an essential coenzyme that is synthesised by coupling of pyrimidine and thiazole moieties in bacteria. The previously detected thiamin-regulatory element, thi box was extended, resulting in a new, highly conserved RNA secondary structure, the THI element, which is widely distributed in eubacteria and also occurs in some archaea. RNAcentral also lists the same sequence under 1 other name. The record is from RNAcentral. Lineage: Bacteria; Bacillati; Bacillota; Clostridia; Eubacteriales; Clostridiaceae.
AUUUUAGGCUAGGGGUGCCAAAAGGCUGAGAGAGGUUUAUCCUCAACUCUUUGAACCUGAAGCGGUUAAUACCGCCGGAGGGAAGCUACAUGCAUAUUUU